UACAGAGGUCUCAAGCGUUGUUCGGAUUCAUUGGGCGUAAAGGGUGUGUAGGUGGCGCGCUAAGUCGGGUGUGAAAACUCUGGGCUCAACUCAGAGCCUGCAGGCGAAACUGCCGUGCUGGAGUGUGGGAGAGGUGCGUGGAAUUCCCGGUGUAGCGGUGAAAUUCGUAGAUAUCGGGAGGAACACCGGUGGCGAAGGCGGCGACCUGGGUGGAUACUGACGCUGAGGUGCGAAAGCGUGGGGAGCAAACAGG
Molecule: ribosomal RNA, 253 nt
Filed under: uncultured bacterium
Lineage: Bacteria
Description: partial 16S ribosomal RNA
Rfam family: Bacterial small subunit ribosomal RNA
Source: RNAcentral